GACGAACGCUGGCGGCGUGCUUAACACAUGCAAGUCGAACGGAAAGGCCCUGCUUUUGUGGGGUGCUCGAGUGGCGAACGGGUGAGUAACACGUGAGUAACCUGCCCUUGACUUUGGGAUAACUUCAGGAAACUGGGGCUAAUACCGGAUAGGAGCUCCUGCUGCAUGGUGGGGGUUGGAAAGUUUCGGCGGUUGGGGAUGGACUCGCGGCUUAUCAGCUUGUUGGUGGGGUAGUGGCUUACCAAGGCUUUGACGGGUAGCCGGCCUGAGAGGGUGACCGGCCACAUUGGGACUGAGAUACGGCCCAGACUCCUACGGGAGGCAGCAGUGGGGAAUAUUGCACAAUGGGCGGAAGCCUGAUGCAGCAACGCCGCGUGCGGGAUGACGGCCUUCGGGUUGUAAACCGCUUUCGCCUGUGACGAAGCGUGAGUGACGGUAAUGGGUAAAGAAGCACCGGCUAACUACGUGCCAGCAGCCGCGGUGAUACGUAGGGUGCGAGCGUUGUCCGGAUUUAUUGGGCGUAAAGGGCUCGUAGGUGGUUGAUCGCGUCGGAAGUGUAAUCUUGGGGCUUAACCCUGAGCGUGCUUUCGAUACGGGUUGACUUGAGGAAGGUAGGGGAGAAUGGAAUUCCUGGUGGAGCGGUGGAAUGCGCAGAUAUCAGGAGGAACACCAGUGGCGAAGGCGGUUCUCUGGGCCUUUCCUGACGCUGAGGAGCGAAAGCGUGGGGAGCGAACAGGCUUAGAUACACUGGUAGUCCACGCUGUAAACGGUGGGUACUAGGUGUGGGGUCCAUUCCACGGGUUCCGUGCCGUAGCUAACGCUUUAAGUACCCCGCCUGGGGAGUACGGCCGCAAGGCUAAAACUCAAAGGAAUUGACGGGGCCCCGCACAAGCGGCGGAGCAUGCGGAUUAAUUCGAUGCAACGCGUAGAACCUUACCUGGGUUUGACAUGGAUCGGGAGUGCUCAGAGAUGGGUGUGCCUCUUUUGGGGUCGGUUCACAGGUGGUGCAUGCCUGUCGUCAGCUCGUGUCGUGAGAUGUUGGGUUAAGUCCCGCAACGAGCGCAACCCUUGUUCACUGUUGCCAGCACGUUAUGGUGGGGACUCAGUGGAGACCGCCGGGGUCAACUCGGAGGAAGGUGGGGAUGACGUCAAGUCCUCAUGCCCCUUAUGUCCAGGGCUUCACGCAUGCUACAAUGGCUGGUACAGAGAGUGGCGAGCCUGUGAGGGUGAGCGAAUCUCGGAAAGCCGGUCUCAGUUCGGAUUGGGGUCUGCAACUCGACCUCAUGAAGUCGGAGUCGCUAGUAAUCGCAGAUCAGCAACGCUGCGGUGAAUACGUUCCCGGG
Molecule: ribosomal RNA, 1343 nt
Filed under: uncultured bacterium
Lineage: Bacteria
Description: 16S ribosomal RNA
Rfam family: Bacterial small subunit ribosomal RNA
Source: RNAcentral